GCCAGCAAGGCCUGGGAGGGGAAUCCCGGCCACACGGACUACAGUGUGCCCAAUUCGCGGCCUCUUUCACAUCGACCGAAGGAAACAGCAAAAGGAGCCGUGAUUCUGUUGAUCGAUUACAAUCAGAGCGGUUUGUAGAAGUGACACAGACAGGCGAGGAUGGGCAGAUGGGCGGGGAGAGAGAAAGAGCCCAAGAGGCGGAGCCUCGUGGGCAAGGCAGCGGUGGUGCCCAGAUGUCUGAACAGAUUAAUACAGCCAGGUAUGGGAGCCAGGCUACCAAGCAGGCACAUCCCAGUCAGAGGGAAGAGGACCCUGUUACCUUGCACUAGAAGAUGGAAGCUGAGCCCCAAGGUGUCCUUCUGCCCACCUGACAACCACUUUCCCACCCACCUGCAGAAAUUCCCUUUGAUGAUCAGUGUUAUCAACCUGACAGAGUCACCUCGAUCUUACUCCUCUAUGUGGGCCUGGAGGGAUUGAUUAAGUUAGGUUAAUCGACUUGGAAAAGACCCGCCUUCACUCACUUGAAAUGUGGACCAUUAAGGAGAAGGCUAGAGAAGCAGAAUUCAUCUCUCUCUACUUCCUGAUGCUGAUGCUCUGACCAACUGUCUCGAGCCUCCCGCAGCAUGCAUGGUGCAUUGUACCCUCAAACUGUGAACCCAAAUAAAUGUCUCCUUCCUUAGAUUACCUCGCCAGAUGUGUUGUCACAGCAACAAGACCAAAAACCUGAAACAUUCCCUGACCCCAGUGUUUCAAGCUCAAAUGUACUGUUAUGUCCUCACUGGCACCAAGGCGCUAAUCACUCUGCUGGUGGUAGAGAGCUAUUGGGCAAGGAGGUAUCAGGUACAAUCUAACAUCAGCCUUCACAGGCAACAUCCUGUUAUUUAAUUCCUGAUGCAUGGGGUCAGUCUGUGGACAGUUGAAACCAGAUAACUGAUCAGUAAAUCGAGAGAAAAGGGGGCAGUCAGAAAGGUCAGCAGACUGCUUUCUUCUGCCAUGGGUCCUCAGAGCACGCUCUGUCCGAAGCAACACCAUCGUAGCUUUCCUCCACUGGUCAGCUUAGCUGCUGGAGCCUUCUUUUUCAGCAUUGUCCUCUUCACUUGGCCCCAGGUCACAGCUGUCUACAGAGGUCUCUGGGGACAUGUGAAUGGUGGAAGUAAAGCAGCAGCUUUUAUGUUCGUGAAGCCAAUAUCCACAGUCAUUGUGCAUCCUUCUGGGGGAACCGUGGCUCCUCCCCAUCCUCUUCCUUCUUUUUCCUCCAGCUACGGUGGCCUGGGUGAAAGCCAGCUUUACAGAAAGAUUCUUGCUUUGUUUCAGAGUCAAAGUCCAAAGUGGUGAGAACAGAUAGAGAUUCCCGUUGUCUUUGUGGCUUUUUGUCCAUUUGACCAUGAUUGCUCCCACAUCUUACUGGCUUUUUUUUCCACACUUCUGGUCCUGCUGGUCUACAGCAACUUCAGAACCAUCAUUGGUUACAGAGAGUCCAGCUUUCUGUUGGUUCUUCCCUAGCCCCAAAGGUGGAUACAAGCUCCAAGCUCCAUUAUCAACCUCUUGCUCCAUGGUAGAUACAGUGGGACUGCUUCCCCUAUGAAACUUUAAAUGAUGUGUCAGGGAAAUGUGUCCUCUUUUGCCAGGGCUACUCAUUUACAGUGUUGAGUUACUGAGUUUCAUCAUUUUAUAACAUCUAACAUUAAAGAGGAGGCCACUACUGAGUGAAUACAUUUCCCGAGGCGUUUAUACAAAAUUCUCACUAAUCAGAGGAUUCAAACAACAGCAACGUGUUCUUCCCUCUUUGGUGACUGCAAGUUCUAAACCAGGCAGGUCAUUCGGUGACUCUAGGAGGACUCAUUCUUCUCGUCUAGCUUCUGCUGGCUGGCAGCAUUCCUUGGCUUGUGGCCACAUGACUCUAUGGUCACAUUGCCAUCUCCUUUAACUACCACAUCUCCUUCUGCUGUACUCUAAUAAAGACACUUGCUUUUGGAUUGAAGGGUCAUUGGAUAACCCAAGUUGAUUUCUUCACCUCAAGAUCCUUAGAGCAGCUACCUCUGCAAAGACCCUUUUCCCCACUAUGUUAAUGUCUGCCUUUCCAUGGACACUGGCUUCCAUUUGGGCAGACCAUCCUUCGGCUACCUCAGUUCCUCAUCUAAGCUAACGGCCCUUCACUCAAACUCCUCGGCAACUCUCAGCUAACAUCUAUGAGCUCUGCAAGCCUUGAAAAACUCACUAAGGCUGUUUCUUUCCUUCACUUAUAAAGCUUAUGUUUAUACAUUAAGACUCGAUUGAGUGACCAGUGGGGGGAUAGUCACCCAUGUUUGGUUCAACUCAUGUAAUCAUCUUUUCAAUUAAUAUAACUUUAUUGAAUGAUUAGUAGACAAUGACUCUUAGUUCACCUCGGGAAAAGUGAACACUUUUCCCUGACUUGACCAAUGCUAUUUAUAAAAUGCCACUCAGUGCACUUCCCAGCCUCUCUCCCUCUGGAUGCAUCUUGUGAACAAGCUCUGAGUUGUGAAGUGUCAGUAGAAGUGACAGGUGCCAAUUCUAAUAACAUGACUUUUUAAA
Long non-coding RNA from Mastomys coucha (southern multimammate mouse), 2553 nucleotides. RefSeq lists it as uncharacterized. The record is from RefSeq and is a predicted model, not a curated record. The transcript is spliced from 2 exons. NCBI's taxonomy places the organism in Eukaryota, Metazoa, Chordata, Mammalia, Rodentia, Muridae.